This 467-nucleotide ribosomal RNA is filed under the name uncultured bacterium. RNAcentral describes it as "partial 16S ribosomal RNA". It matches the Rfam family "Bacterial small subunit ribosomal RNA", at positions 28 to 506 of the family's 1533-position model. The record is from RNAcentral.
GACGAACGCUGGCGGCGUGCUUAACACAUGCAAGUCGAACGGAAAGGCCCCGCUUUUGUGGGGUGCUCGAGUGGCGAACGGGUGAGUAACACGUGAGUAACCUGCCCUUGACUUUGGGAUAACUUCAGGAAACUGGGGCUAAUACCGGAUAGGAGCUCCUGCUGCAUGGUGGGGGUUGGAAAGUUUCGGCGGUUGGGGAUGGACUCGCGGCUUAUCAGCUUGUUGGUGGGGUAGUGGCUUACCAAGGCUUUGACGGGUAGCCGGCCUGAGAGGGUGACCGGCCACAUUGGGACUGAGAUACGGCCCAGACUCCUACGGGAGGCAGCAGUGGGGAAUAUUGCACAAUGGGCGGAAGCCUGAUGCAGCAACGCCGCGUGCGGGAUGACGGCCUUCGGGUUGUAACCCGCUUUCGCCUGUGACGAAGCGUGAGUGACGGUAAUGGGUAAAGAAGCACCGGCUAACUACGU